RNAcentral lists this ribosomal RNA (525 nucleotides) under Triticum aestivum (bread wheat). Its description in RNAcentral is "partial small subunit ribosomal RNA". Lineage: Eukaryota; Viridiplantae; Streptophyta; Magnoliopsida; Poales; Poaceae. The record is from RNAcentral.
GCGAAGGCAGCCACGCACGGUCGGUCAACCCUGUUUCUCCAGUCUCGGAAAUACUCGAUCCGCCGCCUGGAAGCCAGCCGAGCCGCCUACCUCACCGUCCCUGCCCGGCCGCCCGGAACCACUGGUAGACUGCCCUUUGACCCCAAGUCCCUGACCGGCCUGAAGGCUGACAUCCGCGACCUGCCGCUGCCUGCCUCGCUUGGCGCCCGGCCGACUACUGUCCGCGCAGUCACGCAGGCGCACCACCGCGCCCUGCUGACUGGACUGCCGGAGCCGCCCACUUCCAGUGCGCUCCGCGGCCGCUUCCUCAGCCGCUGAUCCUUCGGUCCUCCCCAAUCCCCAUCCCUUGCUCAGCUCAGAGAGGUUCGAUGGUAAUGAAAAAGACACCUAUCUGAAUAUGUGGAGCCUAGUUGGAGUGAGGAAUUCAUUAGUGUUAUUGCUAUUUUUUCUUUGAUGUUUAUGUACUUUAUAAUUCAGACAAGAAGAUUUGUAGGUGUGAUAGGCCUAAAGUGUCAAUACUUGAUC